RNAcentral lists this long non-coding RNA (1661 nucleotides) under Heterocephalus glaber (naked mole-rat). RNAcentral describes it as "lncRNA (ENSHGLG00100039817.1)". The record is from RNAcentral. Lineage: Eukaryota; Metazoa; Chordata; Mammalia; Rodentia; Bathyergidae.
GUUGUAGCACAUAUAAAUGCAAUUUCCAGGCACUGACUAUAACUUUUGAGAGGACUUUUUCCUCAGCCAAAAAAAAAAAAAAAAAAUACUGCUUUUGUAUUUGUCAAAUGUUUUACAUGAUGAGGACAAUGUAGUGGUGAUUAUUGCUUGGAGAGGUUAUUGUUUGUUUUGGGGGGUUUUUGUUUGUUGAAACAAUGUCUCAUUAUGUAGUUCAGGCUGACCUUGAACUUCUGGCAAUCCUUCUCCCUCAGCCUCUCAAGUGCUGGUAUUACAGGCGUGCACUACCACACCCAACUGUAGAGGAACACCUAUAGAAGCUAAAUCAUCAUCUCAGAGGUACUUGAAAUUAAACUCAACAUGAUGAGAAUACACUAAGAGAGGCUGAAGGACACAUUUUUGAAAGGGCUAGUGGAACUGGGAAUCAAAGACUUCUUAUGGCUAUGAGUUAUAGGCAUAGUCAAAGACUGCUAAUAGGCAUUGAGGGAAGAGACUACAGAUGGCUAACUACCAAAGCCUUCAGAAGCAAAGAAAAUGUAUUCAGAGACAAAGGGGAAAAGUUUUGAGCAUCAGUCACCUGCACAUCAACCCUACCAAAGUAAGCAGAGCUGCAGAGGUUAUGAAAGAGGCUUCUGAUGCAUGACUUCCCCAAAGCGGAAAGCCCUUUUAGCAGGUGUAAUUAUUAGGACUCUCUGACACUGGCUUUCUUUUAUAUUUAACUUCACAACCGUUAGUGACACUGUUUCAGGCUCAAGCAUCUGGUUUUCCCGUGCUUGUGUUCCACCUACUUGUGAUGGAAUGUACGUCACAGUCCAGCUGAGACAGCCAGCCAGGUGAUGUGGCACCUCAAGGCCUUCAUGACUGAGGGCUGGAAUAAAGCAAGGGGUGAAUUCAACUGGCACUGCAAAAUGAAACUUUAAAAGUUCGACUUUUUUCUUUUAGAGAUAAGCAACUUCUCCAUACUUUUUCAUGCUGAGCACACAGCUAACACCCUCUUCUCUCCUCAAACUAAAAGCAAGGACAGAAUAUGCAGAUAUUAUGCACCCCAGGAGGCCAGGAGCCUGGUUUCCUUUUCACAAGAAAGUGGAGAUGAGCUGAAGAGGGCUGGAAGUGAUAAAGCAAGCAUGGAGACUCUAUUCCUUACUGUAAAAGACCCUUGCCCACCUGUACAUGGAGAGAUGGUGAUUUGAGGCAAAAAGGCCCCUGCAUCUCCUCAGAGCCAGCUUUGAAUAAAUUCUUUUUUCCUUUUUACUAAAAUAUGUUGUCAGUGGCAAGCAAACGAACCUGAGCAUAUAAAAUUAAGUAGCCAGUAACAUUCUCGUAAGCUUUUCUAUCACGGUAGAAGGAACCUUAGCUUUCUGGCUUCUCAGACUAAAAUCCUUCAAGUUGUGAUUGAUUGUCAUUCUCUACUUCAUAUCUGAACCAUCAGCACAUCCUAUCUACUCUUCUUUCAAACUACAUCUGGAAUUCAACCACUUCUCACCAUUUUUCUUGCUGCCACCUUUGUCCAGGUCAUCAUUUUGUAUCACAGUAACCUCCUAAGCAUUUCCCUGAUUCUCCCUGGGUCUCCUCUAGUAGACAGCAUAGUCGUUCAGUUUUUUAAUUUUUUGGUGCUGGAGAAUUGAACCCAGGGACAUGCUAAGUUCAUGCCGAGCUAGAUCCCC